AGAGUUUGAUCCUGGCUCAGAGCGAACGCUGGCGGCAGGCCUAACACAUGCAAGUCGAACGGGCCCUUUCGGGGGUCAGUGGCAGACGGGUGAGUAACGCGUGGGAACGUGCCCAUCGGUUCGGGAUAACCCAGGGAAACUUGGGCUAAUACCGGAUACGCCCUUUUGGGGAAAGAUUCAUUGCCGAUGGAUCGGCCCGCGUCUGAUUAGCUAGUUGGUGAGGUAACGGCUCACCAAGGCGACGAUCAGUAGCUGGUCUGAGAGGAUGAUCAGCCACACUGGGACUGAGACACGGCCCAGACUCCUACGGGAGGCAGCAGUGGGGAAUAUUGGACAAUGGGCGCAAGCCUGAUCCAGCCAUGCCGCGUGAGUGAUGAAGGCCUUAGGGUUGUAAAGCUCUUUCGUCCGGGACGAUAAUGACGGUACCGGAAGAAGAAGCCCCGGCUAACUUCGUGCCAGCAGCCGCGGUAAUACGAAGGGGGCUAGCGUUGUUCGGAAUCACUGGGCGUAAAGGGCGCGUAGGCGGCCUGAUAAGUCGGGGGUGAAAGCCUGUGGCUCAACCACAGAAUUGCCUUCGAUACUGUCGGGCUUGAGACCGGAAGAGGUAAGUGGAACUGCGAGUGUAGAGGUGAAAUUCGUAGAUAUUCGCAAGAACACCAGUGGCGAAGGCGGCUUACUGGUCCGGUUCUGACGCUGAGGCGCGAAAGCGUGGGGAGCAAACAGGAUUAGAUACCCCAGUAGUCC
RNAcentral lists this ribosomal RNA (744 nucleotides) under uncultured bacterium. RNAcentral describes it as "bacterial SSU rRNA". It matches the Rfam family "Bacterial small subunit ribosomal RNA", at positions 8 to 796 of the family's 1533-position model. The record is from RNAcentral.